This 76-nucleotide transfer RNA is filed under the name Candidatus Margulisiibacteriota bacterium. RNAcentral describes it as "tRNA-Thr". It matches the Rfam family "tRNA". Rfam says of the family: Transfer RNA (tRNA) molecules are approximately 80 nucleotides in length. Their secondary structure includes four short double-helical elements and three loops (D, anti-codon, and T loops). Lineage: Bacteria; Bacillati; Candidatus Margulisiibacteriota. The record is from RNAcentral.
GCCCCUGUAGCUCAGUUGGUAGAGCAUCACCAUGGUAAGGUGGAGGUCGGCAGUUCAAUUCUGCCCGGGGGCUCCA